This 422-nucleotide long non-coding RNA is filed under the name Saimiri boliviensis boliviensis (Bolivian squirrel monkey). RNAcentral's name for it is "lncRNA (ENSSBOG00000036785.1)". The record is from RNAcentral. Lineage: Eukaryota; Metazoa; Chordata; Mammalia; Primates; Cebidae.
CUACCCUCGGCUGCUGCCCGAGCUUCCUCCGCGCGCCGUGCAGUCUCCACGGCUACGCGGCGUCCCCAGCGCGGAUUCCCGAGCCCCGCGCGAGCACCAGGUAGCUGGGCUGAUUCUCGGUGUCUGCCCUUCGGAUGGUCGGCUAGAGAGGGCUGCCAGCGGGAAUUCUGUAGACAAGAGAGAUGCCGUAAAGACAACAAAGAACAAACAGAAUGGCAGAUUGCUAAUGUUUAAUCCAAAGGAAAAAGUGAUGAUUGAAUCAAAUGAAGCAAUGUCAGAUAAAUGCCUUUUUGGACGCAGACCAAGAUUGAGAACCAAACUUAAUGCCUCACCAACGCAGGUCUCUCCAAGUGUAGCUAAGACAUUCGCAGAAAAGUAAGUUUUAAUUAAUUUUGUUUUUAGGCCCAUGUUUGAUGAUUUUA